AACUUCAACUAAAGAGUUUAUGACGUUCGUGCCUUAGGGUGCCUCUAGAGUUCUAGACAGAGUAAUAAGAAUUCUUAUUAUUUUGUGUUCCCAGACAAUGCGAAAAUUUUAUACCUCUGUUCUUAACAUCUUAACACGUUUACACAGACUUUUACAGAGCAUUAUUAUUUAUUAGUUAUUACUAUUUAUAAUAUUAUAUCUACUAUUAAUGUCUAAGUUUGUGUAUAGUGUGUAUCAACUAUCAGGCACGUAUACAAAAAAGAAAUUUCGGGGGGCUUACAAAAUUUAGCAAUACUAAUUGUGCCGCAACAUAAUAAAACAAUCCUUGUUACUUGAAAAUAUUCCUGGGGGGGGGUUGAGCCCAUAGACUUAUGUCUAUGGUUGAGCCCCAAUUUCAACAACACCACUGUAUACGUGCCUGGUGUAUAUUUUUAUUCUUUAGUAUUGUUCUGUGGUAUUAACUAUAUUAUUGGUAUAUAAUAUCACGUUUAAAAUCUACAACCGUGGUAUAUAUUAUCAUUUAACAUUUUUGGAGCUUAGAUAAUAUAUUAUCAGUUAUCAUUAAUCACGAUUUCAGCAUAUAGAGCACGGUCUUAUAUUAUAUUCUGUGGUAUUGACACCAUAGACAUAAUAUUAUGAUGUCCUCGUUCAACUAUAAAAUAAAUAUAUAAUAUAAUAUAGCUAGUUCAAUUUAUAUCCUAUGUCCUUAUGCAUCCGCCAAUUGAUGAUAAGAUAUUAAGAUGUAUUAUCUGAACUACUUUCGUAGUUUCGUGCAAUAAAAAACAAAAAUCCAAUAUUUUAAUAGAGAAUUUUUAUUUAGAGUUUUUAAGAAGUGUUAAUGUAUUUAUAAUACAUAAUUAUAUCGAGUACGGCCGUAGAUAACUAUAUAACAAUGAAAUACAAUUAUUUAUUUUAGAUUAAUCUUUGACCGAUCGUGUAACGUUCAUCGUUUUUAUUCUUCUAAUCGCAUACAUAGUAAAAAAUAAAAUAAAUUUUUUUACAUUCGGAUAUAAUCUUAUUAAUAGAUUUAUUUGAAAAAAUAUUUUCUGUCUAAGAAUAUACCUAUUCAUUGUAAUAUCUCAGAUAAUUAACUCAGAUAGGUACACCAAUUCAUAUUUAUUUUAAUAAUAGUUGUUACAAAACCUCAACAUUUAAGAAAAUGAGGCGAUUUAUGCAUUUAAUUAAUGUAGUACCAAUGUUGCUAAAUGCCCAAAAAUCAAUUGCAACUAGUUCCAAACUGUUUCCUAAAAUAAAACAGCAAACUUUUUUUAUACCAACUCGUACUAUGUUUAUACAAACUCAAGAUACACCUAAUCCAAAUAGUGUCAAAUUUUUACCUGGUGUUCAGGUAUUAGAAAAAGGUCAUACAAUGGAUUUUCCUAGUGCUACAGCAGCAUACUGCAGUCCCUUAGCUAAAGUUUUAUUUCGCGUUGAAGGGGUAAAAAGUGUCUUUUUUGGUUCAGAUUAUAUUACUUUAACAAAAGCCGAUGAUGAUAUAGAAUGGAUGGUUCUUAAACCUGAAAUAUAUGCUACCAUUAUGGAUUUUUUUGCAAGUGGCUUGCCUAUAUUAACUGAUGUUAAACCAACUAGUGAUACUCAAAUUCAUGAAGAUGAUAAUGAAACUGUUAUGAUGAUUAAAGAACUUCUUGAUAGCAGAAUUAGACCUACUGUUCAAGAAGAUGGCGGUGAUAUUCUUUUUAUAGGAUAUGAUGCAGGAAUUGUCAAGUUAAAAUUACAAGGAUCUUGUACUAGUUGUCCAAGUUCAAUAGUAACCUUAAAAAGCGGGGUUCAGAACAUGCUUCAAUUUUAUAUACCCGAGAAUCAAGAAAUUAAAAAUAAUAAAUAAAAAAAACAGUAAGAACAAAUGAUGAUUUCAUAUAUUUCAUUCAUGAUUUCAACAGAAUUAAUAAAAUGGUAUUUGGUGAGAUCAGGUGAUAGCGGUCGAACAAGUUGAAGAUGAAAUUGAAAUACGAACAAAAGUCGAAUUUGAAAAAUUUGAAAAGAAGUUGGAAGAGAGCGAGGAAAAAGAAAAAUAAUAACCAAGUUUAAUCUUAGAUAUUUAUUAAUAAACAUUUUCAUAGUUUUCUUUAAAUGUUAUCUAUCAAGAACUACAUUAUCAAAAUAUCUAAAGUGCAGUGGUUUCCAUAAUAUAUUUUUAACUAAUCAAUAAAUGUUUUAUUAUUAUAA
RNA transcript from Rhopalosiphum padi (bird cherry-oat aphid), 2187 nucleotides. It is a transcript of the gene named NFU1 iron-sulfur cluster scaffold homolog, mitochondrial-like, with no coding region annotated. The record is from RefSeq and is a predicted model, not a curated record. NCBI's taxonomy places the organism in Eukaryota, Metazoa, Arthropoda, Insecta, Hemiptera, Aphididae. The transcript is spliced from 8 exons.